This 1011-nucleotide long non-coding RNA is filed under the name Rhinopithecus bieti (black snub-nosed monkey). RNAcentral's name for it is "lncRNA (ENSRBIG00000045808.1)". Lineage: Eukaryota; Metazoa; Chordata; Mammalia; Primates; Cercopithecidae. The record is from RNAcentral.
CGGCAGGCCCGGGUGGGCAGAGUGGCAGCCUGGACGGGUCCAGCCUUCUCGCAGCCUCUGCCAGUCCCCAGGUGUCUGGGGCUGCUGAGGGACACUGAAUGGGGCAGCAGGAAUAGGAGGGGCCACAUUCGGGGUUCCGAAGCCAGUCAGGGAGGACCUGGGAAGCUGCCAGAGGCACCUCAGUGGGGAGGAGGGCGCGAGACAGAUGAAUGACGGGCAAAUGACAGGGGCAACAACCUGCAACUACGUGGCCUCGUGAUGUGGAUCCACCGCAGCAUGGAGCGGGGUCUGCAUCAGGAAAGACACUCCUCUUCCCCUGGCCGCAGGUCCCAAGACCAUCGUGCAUACCAGAAUCUCAGCAUUCCCCUUCGCAUGACUCAGAUUAGGUCACCUGGGCCCACCGAACAGUCCAUCCUUCCACAGCCCCAUUCCAGGGAAAGCAGAAGUUCUUCCAGGGGCAGAAGGAGGGAGACAGGACUGCUGAAUUAGAACUUGAGCCAUAAAAUGUAUUCGUCCAGCUCCACAGAACCUUCCCCCUGAGCUACCCAUGCCUUCCCACUCCAGAGGCUUCCCACCUGCAGUUCCCCCAGCACAGAGUGCCCUUCAUCAUCUCCAGCUGGGACUGGAUUGCUGACUGCCCAGGUCCAGUCAUGCUCUUAUCCCCUCUAGGGACACUAAGGAAGGACGUCCAAGCAGAGAGACAGCAUAUAGAAAGUCCCCUUAUAAAAGAAGGGGCUGGACUGGGCCCAGUGGCUCAUGCCUGUAAUCCCAGCACUUUGGGAGGCCAAGGCAAGCGGAUCAUCUAAGGUCAGGUGUUCGAGACCAACCUGGCCAACACAGUGAAACACUGUCUCUACUAAAAAUACAAAAAUUAGCUGGACAUGGUGGCGGGCACCUGUAAUCCCAAGCUACUCAGAAGGCUGAGGCACAAGAAUCUCUUAAACCCAGGAGACGGAGGUUGCAGUGAGCUGAGAUUACGUUAUUGCACUCCAGCCUGGGCGACAGAAUGAG